RNAcentral lists this ribosomal RNA (455 nucleotides) under uncultured bacterium. Its description in RNAcentral is "bacterial SSU rRNA". It matches the Rfam family "Bacterial small subunit ribosomal RNA", at positions 29 to 526 of the family's 1533-position model. The record is from RNAcentral.
AACGAACGCUGGCGGCAGGCUUAACACAUGCAAGUCGAACGCUCACUUUCGGGUGGGAGUGGCAGACGGGUGAGUAACACGUGGGAACAUACCCUUCGGUUCGGAAUAACCCUGGGAAACUAGGGCUAAGACCGGAUACGGCCGGGAGGCGAAAGAUUGAUCGCCGAGGGAUUGGCCCGCGUCCGAUUAGCUAGUUGGUGGUGGUAAUGGCUCACCAAGGCGACGAUCGGUAGCUGGUCUGAGAGGAUGGCCAGCCACAUUGGGACUGAGACACGGCCCAAACUCCUACGGGAGGCAGCAGUGGGGAAUAUUGGACAAUGGGCGCAAGCCUGAUCCAGCCAUGCCGCGUGAGUGAUGACGGCCUUAGGGUUGUAAAGCUCUUUCGCACGCGACGAUAAUGACGGUAGCGUGAGAAGAAGCCCCGGCUAACUUCGUGCCAGCCGCCGCCGUAACAC